RNAcentral lists this ribosomal RNA (249 nucleotides) under uncultured Hyphomicrobiales bacterium. RNAcentral's name for it is "uncultured Rhizobiales bacterium partial 16S rRNA". It matches the Rfam family "Bacterial small subunit ribosomal RNA", at positions 731 to 980 of the family's 1533-position model. Lineage: Bacteria; Pseudomonadati; Pseudomonadota; Alphaproteobacteria; Hyphomicrobiales. The record is from RNAcentral.
GGACUGGUAUUGACGCUGAGGUGCGUAAGAGUGGGGAGCAAACAGGAUUAGAUAGCCCGGUAGUCCACGCCGUAAACGAUGAAUGCUAGCCGUUGGCGGGCUUGCCCGUCAGAGGAGCAGCUAACGCUUUAGGCAUUCCGCCUGGGGAGUACGGUCGCAAGAUUAAAACUCACAGGAAUUGACGGGGGCCCGCACAAGCGGAGGACCGUGUGGUUCAAUUCCAAGCAACGCGCAGAACCUUACCAGCGU